GGAUACAAAGAAUAAUAAGGAUACAGAAAACGUUUAAACAUACAAUAUAUGUAGGUGCACGUUAUUUCGACGAGUUUGGCGCAAAUAUGCACAACACUGGCCGAAUCGACUUUUUCCUAUUGGUCGAAUAGAGCUGCCGUAUCGAAAACAAAUUUGAUUUAAACACAUGUGUUACUGCCAGACUGCUUCUUCAGCUAGAAUAUUUAUAAAGAUAUGUUCGUCCAAUUACACAGCUGUUCUACGUUCAAGUAAAUAUUUCAUGAAAAACCAUUUUGACAGAUUCUACAUUGAGGCAUUCGCGUUACGCCACGGAGUGAUUUAUGAGAAAUCCAGCCAACCUAAUCCUCAAUUUUUUUUUCUUUGAAAAUACAUUUUUAUCAACUAGCAACCAUUUAAUGCAUGUAAAGAAAUGAAUAAAUUACAAUUUCCUCUAAAAA
Long non-coding RNA from Ceratitis capitata (Mediterranean fruit fly), 437 nucleotides. RefSeq lists it as uncharacterized. The record is from RefSeq and is a predicted model, not a curated record. The transcript is spliced from 3 exons. Lineage: Eukaryota; Metazoa; Arthropoda; Insecta; Diptera; Tephritidae.